This 78-nucleotide microRNA precursor is filed under the name Schistosoma margrebowiei. RNAcentral's name for it is "mir-3492 microRNA precursor family". It matches the Rfam family "mir-3492 microRNA precursor family". The record is from Rfam by way of RNAcentral. Lineage: Eukaryota; Metazoa; Platyhelminthes; Trematoda; Strigeidida; Schistosomatidae.
AGUCUUUCGAAUCAGUGCCGAGAUUUCACCUGACACCAGAUCAUCAGCAUCGAUGGAACUCCCAAGAUAAGUGAAGCU